This 253-nucleotide ribosomal RNA is filed under the name uncultured prokaryote. Its description in RNAcentral is "partial 16S ribosomal RNA". It matches the Rfam family "Bacterial small subunit ribosomal RNA", at positions 525 to 777 of the family's 1533-position model. The record is from RNAcentral.
ACGAAGGGUGCUAGCGUUGUUCGGAAUCACUGGGCGUAAAGCGCGCGUAGGCGGCCUGUCAAGUCAGGGGUGAAAUGCCGGAGCUUAACUCCGGAACUGCCUUUGAAACUGACGGGCUGGAAGGUGAGAGGGGAGAGCGGAAUUUCUGGUGUAGAGGUGAAAUUCGUAGAUACCAGAAGGAACACCGGUGGCGAAGGCGGCUCUCUGGCUCACUCUUGACGCUCUGGCGCGAAAGCGUGGGGAUCAAACAGGA